Molecule: unclassified non-coding RNA, 218 nt
Filed under: fungal sp.
Lineage: Eukaryota; Fungi
Description: partial internal transcribed spacer region
Rfam family: Eukaryotic small subunit ribosomal RNA (bases 1-46)
Source: RNAcentral
AAGUCGUAACAAGGUUUCCGUAGGUGAACCUGUGGAAGGAUCAUUAACAACAUAUCCUAACUAAAAAACCCUGUGAACUUUCAACCUGGAGGCCGACACGGCCGGCGACCGGGUCAGCGAGCUCUGCUCCCACUGUUACGUCAAACCCCAUGUUCCCCUCUAGUGAAAGCUAUUGGGUUAUAACUAAACGACUGUUAACAAUGGAUAUCUCGAUUCUC